AAGGAAAGGCGGCCCUGGAGCGCCUAGCGGAGAGCAAAGAAAGGUCGAUGAUGGAAAUCGACCGCGUGGUGGUGCUAAUACCCUCAGGAUGCGAGGCUGUCGAGGCUGUCUCCUACCAGACAGAAACCGAGGUCCAAGGAAGAGGAGGGGAGAGUUUCGGAGCCAAAUGGUUAUCCUCCAACUAGACUUUACACCCGAUGUUCACUUAGUCUCCCUAGGACAUGUUGUUUCCUUUGCUUCCAGGAACUUUGUCAAGGGCACCAAAGAGGGUCAGUAUCACCAUGCAGCAGUGAAGUGAAAAACUAGACCCAAGGUUUCUUUGGAAGAGAGAUCAAAAAAAUCCCUUAUAGCCAAAACCAAACCCACCCUCCUGGCUCUCCCUCCUCUGUGCUUUCCUUAAGACCCCCCCCCCUACACCUAUUUCCAUCCCCACGCCCCCUUUCUACCUAAGGUUCCUGGAAACCAAGGGAGCAGAAAACACUGUUCCCCCGGUGGGCAUACAGCUUCAGAGGACAAAGCUUUCAGGCCGCCUGCUUCAUUAGUGUUAAUGGCUGCUCCCUUCCGCCCUGUGUUGUCAGGUCUCUGCCUACGCCUGGCCUCAUCAGCUUGACAGAGUAAGGACUGCACAUUUGUGGGUGUAACAGGACCCAUGGGACUUUUUUUUUUUUUUUUUUUUUUGACAGAAUCUUACUAUGUAAGGCCAGGCUGGCCUCCAAUUUACAGAAAUUCACCUAUCUCUACCUCCUAAGUGCUGGGAUUAAAGGCAUUUGCCAUGACA
RNAcentral lists this long non-coding RNA (778 nucleotides) under Mus musculus (house mouse). Its description in RNAcentral is "predicted gene, 38250". The record is from RNAcentral. Lineage: Eukaryota; Metazoa; Chordata; Mammalia; Rodentia; Muridae.